GCGAGAGCGAGUGAGAGAGAAAACGAGUGGGAAAGAGAGAGAAAGGGAGAGAGAGAGAGAGACUAUCACGACCGGACGAAGAGGAUAUAUCGAUCGAUCGCUCGCAAACUCCUGCGAGCGAAGAAGUUCCUCCUUCUCCGUUCGAAGAAGACUUCUUCGUCGGUUCCCUCGGCUUCGAAGGGACGAACGGAUCGGAGAACCUUUCGUCUUCAGGUUCGCGAGGAUUCCGUCCGUUAGCGAGGAUUCGCGCCGUAUUAACCGCGUACGAUCAUCGUAAACCCCUCAUUCCCUCAUUUUACUCCUCCUUCUCCGUUUUUAGAUUUCUUUCUUUCUUGUAUUUCGUACGUGUAUUACCCCCACCCUUAUACUUCGGUCACUAUAAACUAACCAACCCUCCCACCCAUAAAGCGUUCGAGAUUUCGUUCGAAAAAUCGAAAAGAGAGGACGGAAGAGAGUAAUGUGCGACCCGGCGAAAAUCGAUGCUCCACCUCUGAACCUUCUUCGUCUUCGAGGAGCGCGGGAGCGCAAGGAAGACGGAAAUAUCGCGCGUUACUUUCGCGGCUCUCUUCGAAGGAGGAGGAACGUUGUCGUAUCCGUAGCUGUAUCCGUUGCCGUGCGAUAUCUCGCCGAAAGCUAGUUCGCCGAACUCCGAAAAAAUCGAGUGAUUUUCUAGGAAAUACAGAAAAACGAAAAAGGAUAUAGGAAUCAAUAAAGCUUGUUGUUUUGGUUAAACGUAUUCAAGUUCUUGCCGGCGGCAUACGGUAAAGGACGUUCUUGUUUUUAAUCGGAACGCACGUUUUUCCACACGCGCGACAGAAAGAGAGAGAGAGAGAGAGAGAGAGAGAGAGACAGAGAGAGAGAGAGAGAGAGAGAGAACAAGUGAGGAGCAAGAGGAGACAAGAAGAGAAGAAGAGAGGAGAGUUUACUUCCCUUAUCUUCGAUCUCGAUCAUCAACCACGGGAGAAGUGUCAAGUGUAACGGUGAAACGGUAACGGUGCGUUAACGCUCUUAUUUAUUAUUUCGAAGUGAUAAGUGAGAAAAAGAAAGAAAUAAAAAAAAGAUAGUAGGAACGGGUGAAUAGAUAGGUGGGGAUGGAGGGGAUUGAGAAGGAAAAGAUAAAGUAAGUAAACAACCUUUAGUUUAGCGGAGAGAAAAGUAGAGAGAGAAAGAAGACUUUAGGAGAAUCGUCGAAUGCACCCAAUCAAAUACAGGUUCGCCGAGUUUGAGGAUAACAAUGACGAGGAUGAUUAUGAUGACGACGACGACGACGAUGACGACGAUUAUGAUGAUGAUGAUCAUGAUGAUGAUGAUGAUAGUGAUGACGACGAUGACAAUGAUGAUAAUGGUAACAACAUUGAUAACGAUGACAACGACGAUUAGGAGAACGACGGAAAGAGACACAAACGUUUGAGUAACUACCAGCGCACGAGUUGGGACGACGCUCUCAACUUCCGAGCUUCGAGCGGGAGACGCGUUACAGCGAGAAAUUCCCGCGCAGGAGAGGAAGACUGGACAAAGCGGAAGAAGCAGAAUAGGACGAGCAAAGCGGAAGAAGAAGCGGAGGAGUGCGAGUGCGGAAGAAGAAGAAGA
Long non-coding RNA from Vespa mandarinia (Asian giant hornet), 1590 nucleotides. NCBI's taxonomy places the organism in Eukaryota, Metazoa, Arthropoda, Insecta, Hymenoptera, Vespidae. The record is from RefSeq and is a predicted model, not a curated record.